ACCUUCCUAGUGAAAGUUCCUUUUAGAAAUAUUGCUAUUAUUGUUAGUUGAAGCAAAUUACUGGUAGAAAAUUUGUGCACGGGAAAAAUAUUUAAGUAAUAUAUUUUGUAAAUUCCUCGGUUUAUUAUUUUUUUUUUUAAAUUUUAUGAGAAAACCUUUUAGGAAAUCGAAAAACGACCUUCCUAAUGUACCUCCAAGCACCGACCUCUUAUCAUUUCCCACCGUUUUACUAAAGACGUGAAGUUAGUUAUUUAUAUUCAUAUUAUGGAACUUAUUUUUCUAGUAAAUACCUAGGUAUCAGUGAUUACCUGAAAUGAUUGAAUAUUUAAUUUAAGACUCUUCAUAAAAGUUUUACAUCGAAAAAAAAUUGAGCUUAGUCAUUAUUUUUUUAUAAGCGUUUUAAGUUCAAAUUUGUUAUAAUCGAAUUGCAAAUUAUUUUUAUUUACAAAUUAAUAAAACGUUCUAUAUAUGUUUAUCAAAUAAUACAACACAGACCUUAUCUCAGAACAGUUGGUAAUAGCUUACGGAUAUAUACUGCAGGAAUUAACUAAAUUACAUUGUAUAAGGUUUUUCUUUUCUAUUUUUCUAUAGAAUUUAAUUUUCUUUACGUUUGCUGGAAGUAAAAUUUCAAGGCUGAAUUGGCGAAAACCGUCACGGUCUCAUUGGCCGGUUAUCGUCUUCAGUAAUUGAUACCAAUAUCAGUACAAGAAGGUACAUGUCAGUACCUAUUUAUUGAAAUAGGUAAAUUGUUAAGAAGAGUGUUUUUGAUAUUUAAUACCUUAUGGUUAUUUGUACGUUAUAUUUCUAAUUAUUUUAGUGCAAAAGGCCGUAUUUCAUUAUGCGAUGAUAUUGUCAUCAACUAAUUAUAAAC
Molecule: non-coding RNA, 871 nt
Organism: Cinara cedri
Lineage: Eukaryota; Metazoa; Arthropoda; Insecta; Hemiptera; Aphididae
Source: the annotation of a GenBank genome assembly